RNAcentral lists this ribosomal RNA (497 nucleotides) under uncultured bacterium. RNAcentral describes it as "partial 16S ribosomal RNA". It matches the Rfam family "Bacterial small subunit ribosomal RNA", at positions 28 to 507 of the family's 1533-position model. The record is from RNAcentral.
GAUGAACGCUGGCGGCGUGCCUAAUACAUGCAAGUCGAGCGAACAGACGAGGAGCUUGCUCCUCUGACGUUAGCGGCGGACGGGUGAGUAACACGUGGAUAACCUACCAAUAAGACUGGGAUAACUUCGGGAAACCGGAGCUAAUACCGGAUAAUAUAUUGAACCGCAUGGUUCAAUAGUGAAAGACGGUUUUGCUGUCACUUAUAGAUGGAUCCGCGCCGCAUUAGCUAGUUGGUAAGGUAACGGCUUACCAAGGCAACGAUGCGUAGCCGACCUGAGAGGGUGAUCGGCCACACUGGAACUGAGACACGGUCCAGACUCCUACGGGAGGCAGCAGUAGGGAAUCUUCCGCAAUGGGCGAAAGCCUGACGGAGCAACGCCGCGUGAGUGAUGAAGGUCUUCGGAUCGUAAAACUCUGUUAUUAGGGAAGAACAAAUGUGUAAGUAACUAUGCACGUCUUGACGGUACCUAAUCAGAAAGCCACGGCUAACUACGUG